Molecule: ribosomal RNA, 579 nt
Filed under: Enterobacter hormaechei
Lineage: Bacteria; Pseudomonadati; Pseudomonadota; Gammaproteobacteria; Enterobacterales; Enterobacteriaceae
Description: bacterial SSU rRNA
Rfam family: Bacterial small subunit ribosomal RNA
Source: RNAcentral
GCGUAAGCGCACGCAGGCGGUCUGUCAAGUCGGAUGUGAAAUCCCCGGGCUCAACCUGGGAACUGCAUUCGAAACUGGCAGGCUAGAGUCUUGUAGAGGGGGGUAGAAUUCCAGGUGUAGCGGUGAAAUGCGUAGAGAUCUGGAGGAAUACCGGUGGCGAAGGCGGCCCCCUGGACAAAGACUGACGCUCAGGUGCGAAAGCGUGGGGAGCAAACAGGAUUAGAUACCCUGGUAGUCCACGCCGUAAACGAUGUCGACUUGGAGGUUGUGCCCUUGAGGCGUGGCUUCCGGAGCUAACGCGUUAAGUCGACCGCCUGGGGAGUACGGCCGCAAGGUUAAAACUCAAAUGAAUUGACGGGGGCCCGCACAAGCGGUGGAGCAUGUGGUUUAAUUCGAUGCAACGCGAAGAACCUUACCUACUCUUGACAUCCAGAGAACUUUCCAGAGAUGGAUUGGUGCCUUCGGGAACUCUGAGACAGGUGCUGCAUGGCUGUCGUCAGCUCGUGUUGUGAAAUGUUGGGUUAAGUCCCGCAACGAGCGCAACCCUUAUCGUUUGUUGCCAGCGGUUAGGCCGGGGAC